CCCGAACCAAAACGGCAUUGCACAAACAAAGCACUUCUGGACUGGGGAGAAGGACGUGGCCAAGUGACCUGAAAGCCUUUGUGUGCUUCAGACCUGGCCGUGUCCACCCAGCCUGAAUGGCAGUGAGAGGGGAGAAUCCCAAGGUUUGUUCUUUUUCUUGUAUAAACCUUCAGUAUUGUGGUCUCCUUUGUCAGCAACAGCAAUGAGCCUGAGCUGAGCCCCAGCUUCAGACACUACAUUUUGCUCCCCAAAACGCACCGAGGGCUCUGGUGCAAGAAUGGGAAGCCCUGGGGUCAUCACAGCGGCUCUGCAGGGUUUCGGUGAGGUCCCGCAGGAUGGCUUUGGUCAGCCGGUUGCCGUUGAGGGACAACGUGGUGAGGUGAGGAAGGCCACACAGCGCCGGCAGCAGCUGCAGCAGCAUCUCAUCCGUCAGCUCGGUGAAGCACAGCUCCACCGUGUCGAUGUGCUCCGAGCUGUGCUGCAGAUACGACGUGACGCGCUCCAGGUCCUUCAGCGUCAACGGGAUGCCCGAUAAGUCCACCGUGUUGUCCUGGGGCUUCCCCAUCAGCACAGCUUUCAGACUGCGUGGGAAGGAAAGGAGAGAGGUGUUCAUGUGGGGGAUGUCGUCUCGAGUGUGAUUACGUGGUGGGACAACGAGCACGGGUUUGUGAAAGGCAGGUCCUGUGUGACCCCUUCUACGAUUGGGUGACUGCAUGGUGGAUGAAGGAAAGGCUUUUGAUGUAACCUACCUGGGCUUUAGCAAAGCCUUUGACACUGCCUCCCAUAGCACUCUCCUGGGGAAGCUGGCAGCUCAGGGCUUA
RNAcentral lists this long non-coding RNA (821 nucleotides) under Gallus gallus (chicken). Its description in RNAcentral is "long non-coding RNA NONGGAT003463". Lineage: Eukaryota; Metazoa; Chordata; Aves; Galliformes; Phasianidae. The record is from RNAcentral.